This is a non-coding RNA of Oryzias latipes (Japanese medaka), 1433 nucleotides long. Lineage: Eukaryota; Metazoa; Chordata; Actinopteri; Beloniformes; Adrianichthyidae. The record is from RefSeq and is a predicted model, not a curated record.
AAGUGACGACGUUGACGACCAGCCGUAACUAAAACAAAUCGUAGUUAAGCUAACGGACGUCACGGAGGGAGCAUGUUUAAGAACAGUUUCCAAAGCGGGUUGUUUUCUAUCCUAUUCAGCAUCGGAAGCAAACCUCUGCAAAUCUGGGAUGAAAAAGUGAGAAAUGGACACAUCAAGAGGGUUCUGGACGACGACAUCCGCUCACAUGUGAUGGAAAUCGAGGGAGUAAACGUUUGCACUACAUACAUCACGUGUCCCGCGGACCCCAAGAAGACUCUGGGCAUCAAACUCCCGUUCCUGGUCAUGAUCAUAAAGAACCAGAAGAAGUAUUUCUCCUUUGAAGUCCAGGUUUUAGAUGAUAAAAACGUUCGCCGGCGGUUCAGAGCAAGUAACUACCAGAGCACGACCAAGGUGAAUUCCUUCAGCUGCACCAUGCCCAUGAGGCUGGACGACGGCUGGAACCAAAUCCAGUUCAACCUGUCAGAUUUCACCAGGAGAGCCUACGGAACCAAUUAUUCAGAGACGCUGCGAGUUCAGAUUCAUGCCAACUGUCGCAUCCGGAGGGUUUACUUCUCUGACAGACUGUAUUCUGAAGACGAACUCCCAGCAGAGUUCAAACUGGUUCUGCCCAUCCAGAAGGCCAAAGGCAGAGCGGCAGGAGUUGAUUAGAAAGUCACCUGGGAGUUGGGGGCAAGACUGUUCGCACAGAAGGCUAACAGUGCGGCGGUGUCCUCAUCAUCAUCUGGGAUGGUUUGAUUCCUACAGCAGAGGAAACAGAAGAAAGCACCAAUGGCAAGUGGGAAGCCAGCCAGAAAGCAGCCAAUCAGUGGAGCAUCUCUGAACACCGGCUGGAUGAACAGAGGACAGGAGCCGUUUCCUCCCUUCAUCUGAGGCACAUCCAAUUAACUGAUCAGAUACCAGACCAAGUUUUCCGCCCCCGGCCAAAACUGCAUCAACUCACCUCAAUGGUACCAUCUAGAACCCCGUCCAGGAAAUCCAGCAGCUGGCGCUCUGUCUCCACAGGACCAGCUGGCUGGUAGUAGCCGUCAUUGGACAGAUUAACCGCGAUCAAAGAGGGCACAGUGACCUCUCUGAUGACAACAAAACAGGACGUGUAGCAACUGACAGAAGUACAACCAAAGAUGGUGAUUAACACAAGACAAAAACUCACCCCAUCACAAAUCCAUUGAUGUAGUCCCCAGCUGCCAUAAAGCCAAAGAGGAAGAACCUGGAGGUGGAAGAGCAGGUGGAUGGAUGGAACCAGAGAACAACAAGGACAUCUCCAAGGAUUUUAGACUAUUUCUGGGGCUUUUCAGUGAUUUUAGAUCAGACCCAAAAAUCUUGGAUGAUACAUUUUGGAGGCUUUCAGACAAUUUUAUGUUUGCUUUGUAAUUCUGUUGUGGUUUUUCAAAGUAAAAGCCUGACCUGCUGUA